CUUUUCACAAAUAUGUGAAAAACUAUUUGUUUUUAUUACCUGCUCCUCUAAGAUAGCUUCUGUGCAUUUUACUUCCCAUUAAGGAAGUUAUUUCUCUCUGAAACGCAAAUGGCAAAAAAAACGCAGUGGUUAAUAUAACGGGUAUGCCAACUUACUGUUAAAUAUAAUGGCAGGCAGCUAGCAUUCACAGGAACUAUACCAUAACUGCUGGGGAAUUCAAUUGUUUUAAUUUAUAGUGACAAACCCAUCCUCUUAGUUUCAAGCAGAGAAAUACCAAAUGAACCGCCUGAAAUUAAGAAUGGCAGUGAACAUGGUUGCUCACUUGGGGAAAGGGUUGCCUGCUGCAUAAGAAUUUUUAAACCAUGAGGCAUUGGAAGUAGGAAAGGAAGAGCAAUAGAAAAGUGUGACAGACUUGCAGAGAAUAAAUAAUGAAACUAGGGUAUGGUUUUGAUCCCAGAUUUCUGAAUUAGGUACUGAAAUAUUUCUCUGAAGUACAGGACCCAAACUACAUGAAAAUGUAGAAGUUCUUAUUCUUAUAGGAGUCGUGGCUCCUGACCCAGGGAACAACAGGGUACAUACACCUUGGAACACUGAAAUCUGAAGCACAAAUCAGAGUUUAGAAGCACAAUUUCAAGUGACAGAAACAAAGGCAAUGAAGAAUCCAUUCAUAAAAAUAAAAGAAGGUAGAAGAUUUCAUGGAACAAUUUCCAGCUCACUUAAGCUCUCAUAUUAUGAAGAAAAAUGUGCUGCUAGUACUGACAAGGAUGUGUAGCCAUAAUCAAGAGGAUGUCAAACAUGAAGAAGGCUGUGUUAGUGGUGGAGUGUUACACAUUUCUUGCUUACUUUACAUGUUGCUUUGAAUGAAUUGCAAGUAUAACUGUAAUAUCCCUUCUCAGGUAAGAUUCUGAAUACCUUCAUAUAGUCCUAUAACAUAUACUUAGUAGUAUUCUACAUAUUUUCUCACACUUAUUAUUGAAAACUAUUUCACAAUUUUGUCCUUUUUUAAAAUCUUGACAUUUCAACAUUUAAAUGAGC
This 1035-nucleotide long non-coding RNA is filed under the name Anas platyrhynchos platyrhynchos (common mallard). RNAcentral describes it as "lncRNA (ENSAPLG00000030552.1)". The record is from RNAcentral. Lineage: Eukaryota; Metazoa; Chordata; Aves; Anseriformes; Anatidae.